This 709-nucleotide ribosomal RNA is filed under the name Salmonella enterica subsp. enterica. RNAcentral's name for it is "partial 23S ribosomal RNA". The stretch from base 88 to 709 matches the Rfam family "Bacterial large subunit ribosomal RNA", at positions 566 to 1190 of the family's 2925-position model. Lineage: Bacteria; Pseudomonadati; Pseudomonadota; Gammaproteobacteria; Enterobacterales; Enterobacteriaceae. The record is from RNAcentral.
CCACCACCAAAGCAUUCUCUGGUGUUGAAGGCCCUGCAAAGCAGCAUCGCGGUGGCGGAGCGUCGUUUGCGACGCCCAACACACAAAACAAGCGGUGAAUGCUUUGGGGUGGGGUGACUGCGUACCUUUUGUAUAAUGGGUCAGCGACUUAUAUUCUGUAGCAAGGUUAACCGAAUAGGGGAGCCGGAGGGAAACCGAGUCUUAAUUGGGCGUUAAGUUGCAGGGUAUAGACCCGAAACCCGGUGAUCUAGCCAUGGGCAGGUUGAAGGUUGGGUAACACUAACUGGAGGACCGAACCGACUAAUGUUGAAAAAUUAGCGGAUGACCUGUGGCUGGGGGUGAAAGGCCAAUCAAACCGGGAGAUAGCUGGUUCUCCCCGAAAGCUAUUUAGGUAGCGCCUCGUGAAUUCAUCUCCGGGGGUAGAGCACUGUUUCGGCUAGGGGGCCAUCCCGGCUUACCAACCCGAUGCAAACUGCGAAUACCGGAGAAUGUUAUCACGGGAGACACACGGCGGGUGCUAACGUCCGUCGUGAAGAGGGAAACAACCCAGACCGCCAGCUAAGGUCCCAAAGUCAUGGUUAAGUGGGAAACGAUGUGGGAAGGCCCAGACAGCCAGGAUGUUGGCUUAGAAGCAGCCAUCAUUUAAAGAAAGCGUAAUAGCUCACUGGUCGAGUCGGCCUGCGCGGAAGAUGUAACGGGGCUAAACCAU